Non-coding RNA from Acanthosepion pharaonis, 111 nucleotides. NCBI's taxonomy places the organism in Eukaryota, Metazoa, Mollusca, Cephalopoda, Sepiida, Sepiidae. The record is from the annotation of a GenBank genome assembly.
CGGCUACAUCAUAUUCAAAAACUGGUUCAUGUACGAUCACCAAAGUUAAGCAAUAUCGAGCCUGCUCAGUACCUAGAUGGGUGACCGCUCGGGAAUACCAGGUGCUGUAUG